GGCGUUGUGGCUGAAAUGGCAUAGCAAAGUUCUGGCAAGAACCUUUAUAGUGGUUCGAGUCCAUCCGAUGCCU
RNAcentral lists this transfer RNA (73 nucleotides) under Maribacter hydrothermalis. RNAcentral describes it as "Maribacter sp. T28 tRNA". It matches the Rfam family "tRNA". From Rfam's summary of the family: Transfer RNA (tRNA) molecules are approximately 80 nucleotides in length. Their secondary structure includes four short double-helical elements and three loops (D, anti-codon, and T loops). Lineage: Bacteria; Pseudomonadati; Bacteroidota; Flavobacteriia; Flavobacteriales; Flavobacteriaceae. The record is from Rfam by way of RNAcentral.